GGGUUCCACUCUGGGACGUGGCUGGGGACAGUCAGGGAUGCUCAGCAGCUCCUUGGACCACGGGGUACGAGCUACGGUACUGGGAUCCCCAGGAGGGCCUGCAGCCUGCUCACACGACGUGCAGAAGCUGGGCUUGAACCCUGAUCCUGGGUAACAGCUCCAAGGAGAAAAUUUAACAUGAUUUUACCCAAGGGUCAUUGUGCAUGGGGCACAAUCCAGCAGGAAAUUCUUCUCCCUGUGGUUCAGCUACUCGUUUGCGGUGGACAGCUUUGGAUCUGUUUUCCUCACCCCCUCUGGCAGCUGUUUUGGUGACAUGCACCCGGCAGGUGGAGCACACUGGAUUGCUGCACCACAGGAUCAGUAGAAGCCUCGGCCCUUCCCUGCCACUGCUGCCCUGCUCUGCACCCCACCUGUCCUGA
RNAcentral lists this long non-coding RNA (419 nucleotides) under Fukomys damarensis (Damara mole-rat). Its description in RNAcentral is "lncRNA (ENSFDAG00000026487.1)". The record is from RNAcentral. Lineage: Eukaryota; Metazoa; Chordata; Mammalia; Rodentia; Bathyergidae.